AGUUAAGUGAUGUAAGCGUAUACGACGGAUGCCUUGGCAGUCAAAGGCGAUGAAGGACGUGCUAAUCUGCGAAAAGUUCCGGUAAGUCGAUAUGAGGCGUUAUAACCGGUAAUAUCCGAAUGGGGAAACCUAAUACACAAAGUAUUAUCAUUAGGUGAAUUUAUAGCUUAAUGAAGCGAACCAGGGGAAUUGAAACAUCUUAGUAUCCUGAGGAAAAGAAAUCAAUUGAGAUUCUCUUAGUAGCGGCGAGCGAACAGGGAAAAGCCUAGAGUUAUUUUGCGAUCUGUAUAAUUAAAAGAACAGUCUGGAAAGUCUGGCGAUAUAAGGGUGAUAGCCCCGUAUUUGAAAAUAUAUAGUUUUGUAUAACUCGAGAAGUAAAACGGGACACGUGAUAUCUUGUUUGAAGAUGGGGGGACCAUCCUCCAAGGCUAAAUACUCUUGACUGACCGAUAGUGAACUAGUACCGUGAGGGAAAGGUGAAAAGAACCCCGGCUAGGGGAGUGAAAUAGAACCUGAAAUCGUAUACGUACAAGCAGUAGAAGCAUUAUAUAAAUGAUGUAACUGCGUACCUUUUGUAUAAUGGGUCAGCGACUUAUAUUUUGUAGCAAGGUUAACUGUGUAAGGGAGCCGUAGGGAAACCGAGUUUUAAAUGAGCGUUAAGUUGCAAAAUAUAGACCCGAAACCCGGUGAUCUAUCCAUGGGCAGAUUGAAGAUUAGGUAAUACUAAUUGAAGGAUCGAACCGACUAAUGUUGAAAAAUUAGCGGAUGACCUGUGGUUAGGGGUGAAAGGCCAAUCAAACCGGGAGAUAGCUGGUUCUCCUCGAAAGCUAUUUAGGUAGCGCCUCAUGAAAUCAUCUUUAGGGGUAGAGCACUGUUUCGGUUAAGGAUCUUACCAGAUUACUAAUCCGAUGCAAACUACGAAUACUAAAGAAUGCUAUCAUGGGAGACACACGCCGGGUGCUAACGUCCGACGUGGAAAGGGAAACAACCCAGACCGACAGCUAAGGUCCCAAAGUUAUAGUUAAGUGGGAAACGAUGUGGAAGGGCUUAGACAACCAGGAUGUUGGCUUAGAAGCAGCCAUCAUUUAAAGAAAGCGUAACAGCUCACUGGUCGAGUCAAUCUGCGCGGAAGAUGUAACGGGGCUAAAUUAUACACCGAAGCUUCGGCAACAAUAAAAUUAUUUUUUGGUUAUUUUUGUUAUAUUACUUUUGUAAUAAAAUAAAAUAAUUUGUUUAUAAAUGAUUUUUUGUUGGGUAGGGGAGCGUUCUGUAAGCCUGUGAAGAUAUAUUGAAAGAUAUGUUGGAGGUAUCAGAAGUGCGAAUGCUGACAUGAGUAACGAUAAAGUGGGUGAAAAACCCACUCGCCGAAAGACUAAGGGUUCCUGUUCAACGUUAAUCGAAGCAGGGUGAGUCGACCCCUAAGGUGAGGCCGAAAGGCGUAAUCGAUGGGAAACGGGUUAAUAUUCCCGUACUUUUAUAUGAUUGCGAUGGGGGGACGGAGAAAGCUAGGUUCGCUGGAUUACGGUUGUUCCAGUUUAAGCGUGUAGAUGAAGAAAGUAGGAAAAUCCGCUUUUUUAUUUUAAACAUUGAGGCGUGACGACGAGCUAUUUUAUAUAGUUAAGGAAUCAAUGCUAUGCUUCCAAGAAAAUCCUCUAAGUGUAAUAUUAUAUUUAAAUCGUACCCUAAACCGACACAGGUAGUCAGGUAGAGUAUACUAAGGCGCUUGAGAGAACUCGGGUGAAGGAACUAGGCAAAAUGGUGCCGUAACUUCGGAAGAAGGCACGCUAGUAGGUAAGUGAGAAGGAUAUCCCUUUUAGCUGAAACUAGUCGCAGAUUCUAGCUGGCUGCAACUGUUUAUUAAAAACACAGCACUGUGCAAACACGAAAGUGGACGUAUACGGUGUGACGCCUGCCCGGUGCCGGAAGGUUAAUUGACGGGGUUAUCAAUUAAUAAGUAUUAUUUUAGUUAUUUGAGAAGCUCUGUAUCGAAGCCCCGGUAAACGGCGGCCGUAACUAUAACGGUCCUAAGGUAGCGAAAUUCCUUGUCGGGUAAGUUCCGACCUGCACGAAUGGCGUAAUGAUGGCCAGACUGUCUCCACCCGAGACUCAGUGAAAUUGAAUUCGCCGUGAAGAUGCGGCGUACCCGCGGUAAGACGGAAAGACCCCGUGAACCUUUACUAUAGCUUGAUAUUGUGCAUUGGGUGUUAAUGUGUAGAAUAGGUGGGAGGCUAUGAAGUGUGAACGCUAGUUUGCAUGGAGCCGUCCAAUGAAAUACCACCCUUUAAUAUUCGAUGUUCUAACUUAGGUCCGUUAUCCGGAUCAAGGACAGUGUCUGGUGGGUAGUUUGACUGGGGCGGUCUCCUCCUAAAGAGUAACGGAGGAGUACAAAGGUUAGCUAAUCACGGUCAGAAAUCGUGAGGUUAGUGUAAAGGCAUAAGCUAGCUUAACUGCGAGAGUGACAACUCAAGCAGGUGCGAAAGCAGGUCUUAGUGAUCCGGUGGUUCUGUAUGGAAGGGCCAUCGCUCAACGGAUAAAAGGUACUCCGGGGAUAACAGGCUGAUACCGCCCAAGAGUUCAUAUCGACGGCGGUGUUUGGCACCUCGAUGUCGGCUCAUCACAUCCUGGGGCUGAAGCAGGUCCCAAGGGUAUGGCUGUUCGCCAUUUAAAGUGGUACGCGAGCUGGGUUUAGAACGUCGUGAGACAGUUCGGUCCCUAUCUACCGUGGGCGUUGGAAGAUUGAGAGGGGCUGCUCCUAGUACGAGAGGACCGGAGUGGACACACCUCUGAUGUUCGGGUUGUUAUACCAAUAGCAUUGCCCGGUAGUUAUGUGUGGGAGAGAUAACCGCUGAAAGCAUCUAAGUGGGAAACUUUCCUCAAGAUGAAUCUUCCCAGAAGUUUUAAUUUUUAAAACUUCCUAAAGGGACGUUAAAGACAAUAACGUUGAUAGGUCGGGUGUGUAAGCGCUGUGAGGCGUUGAGCUAACCGAUACUAAUGACCCGUGAGAACUUAACUU
This 3013-nucleotide ribosomal RNA is filed under the name Candidatus Westeberhardia cardiocondylae. RNAcentral describes it as "bacterial LSU rRNA". It matches the Rfam family "Bacterial large subunit ribosomal RNA". The record is from RNAcentral. Lineage: Bacteria; Pseudomonadati; Pseudomonadota; Gammaproteobacteria; Enterobacterales; Enterobacteriaceae.